GAUGAACGCUGGCGGCGUGCCUAAUACAUGCAAGUCGAGCGAACAGAUGAGGAGCUUGCUCCUCUGACGUUAGCGGCGGACGGGUGAGUAACACGUGGAUAACCGACCUAUAAGACUGGGAUAACUUCGGGAAACCGGAGCUAAUACCGGAUAAUAUAUUGAACCGCAUGGUUCAAUAGUGAAAGACGGUUUUGCUGUCACUUAUAGAUGGAUCCGCGCCGCAUUAGCUAGUUGGUAAGGUAACGGCUUACCAAGGCAACGAUGCGUAGCCGACCUGAGAGGGGGAUCGGCCACGCUGGAAGUGAGACACGGUCCAGACUCCUACGGGGAGCAGCAGUAGGGAAUCAUCCGAGAUGGGCGAGAGCCUGACGGAGCAACGCCGCGUGGGUGAUGAAGGUCUUCGGAUCGGAAAACACUGUUAUUAGGGAAGAACAAAUGUGUAAGUAACUAUGCACGUCUUGACGGUACCUAAUCAGAAAGCCGCGGCUAACUGCG
Molecule: ribosomal RNA, 495 nt
Filed under: uncultured bacterium
Lineage: Bacteria
Description: partial 16S ribosomal RNA
Rfam family: Bacterial small subunit ribosomal RNA
Source: RNAcentral